Molecule: small nuclear RNA, 161 nt
Filed under: Phycomyces blakesleeanus NRRL 1555(-)
Lineage: Eukaryota; Fungi; Mucoromycota; Mucoromycetes; Mucorales; Phycomycetaceae
Description: U1 spliceosomal RNA
Rfam family: U1 spliceosomal RNA
About the family: U1 is a small nuclear RNA (snRNA) component of the spliceosome (involved in pre-mRNA splicing).
Source: Rfam by way of RNAcentral
AUACUUACCUGGGUCGUGUGUCUGGUGAUCAAGAAGACUGGACGCACAGCGGGGCUGACUGUCAUUGCACAGCGAUGGUUGGCACUGCUGCGAACGCCCUUCGGGGUGUCUCGAGACCACAAUUUUUGCUUAAGGGAGUAAUAGCUUGCUAUUGACUCCCU